AAUAAAUCGAGAGCGAUGGGGAGAGAAUUGGCUCGGUGAUCCAUCCAGCAACCGAUUUCGUCAUAAGUCGAAGUACGGUGCUCCAACCAACCCUGUUGAGGGAAUGAUUCGUC
RNAcentral lists this non-coding RNA (113 nucleotides) under Candidatus Chisholmiibacteriota. Its description in RNAcentral is "Candidatus Chisholmbacteria SAM-I sequence". It matches the Rfam family "SAM riboswitch aptamer (S box leader)". From Rfam's summary of the family: The SAM riboswitch is found upstream of a number of genes which code for proteins involved in methionine or cysteine biosynthesis in Gram-positive bacteria. The SAM riboswitch acts at the level of transcription termination control. The predicted structure consists of a complex stem-loop region followed by a single stem loop terminator region. The record is from RNAcentral.